UACGAAGGGGGCUAGCGUUGUUCGGAAUUACUGGGCGUAAAGCGCACGUAGGCGGAUUUGUUAGUCAGGGGUGAAAUCCCGGGGCUCAACCUCGGAACUGCCUUUGAUACUGCAAGUCUCGAGUCCGAUAGAGGUGGGUGGAAUUCCUAGUGUAGAGGUGAAAUUCGUAGAUAUUAGGAAGAACACCUAUGGCGAAGGCAGCUCUCUGGGACGGUACUGACGCUGAGACGCGAAAGCGUGGGGAGCGAACAGG
This 253-nucleotide ribosomal RNA is filed under the name uncultured bacterium. RNAcentral describes it as "partial 16S ribosomal RNA". It matches the Rfam family "Bacterial small subunit ribosomal RNA", at positions 524 to 776 of the family's 1533-position model. The record is from RNAcentral.